Molecule: transfer RNA, 72 nt
Filed under: Camelus bactrianus (Bactrian camel)
Lineage: Eukaryota; Metazoa; Chordata; Mammalia; Artiodactyla; Camelidae
Also listed under: 2 other names
Rfam family: tRNA
About the family: Transfer RNA (tRNA) molecules are approximately 80 nucleotides in length.
Source: Rfam by way of RNAcentral
GGGUUUAUAGCUCAGUGGUAGAGUGCAUGCCUAGCAUGCAUGAGGUCCUGGGUUCAAUCCCCAGUACCUCCA